This 1846-nucleotide unclassified non-coding RNA is filed under the name Hevea brasiliensis (rubber tree). The record is from RNAcentral. Lineage: Eukaryota; Viridiplantae; Streptophyta; Magnoliopsida; Malpighiales; Euphorbiaceae.
GCACAUUAUGCUUUUGACCGCAUUUUAUUCUCAUUUUUAUGUGAGGGUUCAUGUAUCGACAUUCUUUUCCCAAAUGGUUAGAAUGCCAAAUAAAUAAAAGGAAAAGUAAUUAGGCUGCCAUGGAACAUUGAAGAUUCUGCUAGGUGUAAAGUUAUAGCUUGGCAACUCCAUCAAGUAUCACGAAACCUGCCUUUGAAGGUAUGCAAAAGAGGUAAAGAAGUGUCUCCCAAAUGACAAAAUUGGGGUUUUGGUCCAGCAUUUCCACAUCCAACGUAUGCUCCAAACUCAAAAGCCCAAAUCACAUGAGCAACCUCAAUGCAGGAAAACAAAUGCCCCAUCACUCACAUCUCUAGCGAGUGAAUCACAAUUACUAACAUCAGAUCAACUCUUGAUUGUCUAACUCUAAGGUCAGACAGUGUUGCACGCGCUUCAAUAGCAAGUGCUUUUGAACAUGUGGUAACAAUUCUGUCAGCUUUACCUUGUUCUGAUCUUAGGACUCGCCACCCAAAACCAAGAAGCCAAUAAAGAAACAGAGAAGGAGAUAUAGUUUUACAGACGAGCCCAAGCAUAACGAGAGAAAAUCAAAGCUUUGUUUGAAGAGCAUAUGCAACUUGAACAUGGAAAACAAAGAAGAAGAAGAAUCUGCACCGGUAACAACAGAGCCAUCAUCAACAUAUCAGUUAUUCCUAACAAUUAUGAGCAAAAGGAGAACAUGGGUAUGUCUUUUUGUGUUAGUAUAUGCAAUCCUCUUAUCAUCCUCAUGGAAUUUCCUUAAAUCCAUACUUUCUUGGUACAAAGAGCAAGCCCAAGUCACUUCUGCCUCUUCUGGGUGGCCUGCCUUGUAUGCAUCAGUGCUUCUAGGUGCAGUUUUUGGACUUCUUUCAAUGGUUGCAGCUCUUGCAGUGGCUGUGCCAGCCACCUUGGUUAUAUGGAUCUCAGUUGUGGUCUUAUUGGCUUUCUUUGGGAAGCCAAGAAGGGCCUUGGUGAUUGAAGGAAGGAAGAUCACAAGAGAAAUUCUUGGGUUUGUGUUUAAGAUUUUGUUAAAGGAAGGGAAUGUUGUGGCUGCUGUUUGUGCUGUUCUGGGCUACUUUGCUCUGGUUAGAAGGAAUUAUGAAGGUGAUUGAGGGCUUUUUGUUUCAAUUUGCUGGGAUAAUUGUUUAGGACAGAUGGUAAUGGAUUUGUGGAAAUUUCCCCUUUGUCCUGAGCAAGUGUUUGAUAAUUUUCUUUUUUGUUUUGGGGGGUUUGAAUUAGGGAUAAGAACUGGGAAAACUGUGUAACUGUAUUACUGGUUGGUUAGUUUUCUAAUUCCGCUGUAAUAUAUAUGUUCUUUCUAAUCAAUUUGAUGGGCAGUUCUGUUUUAUUUUUAAAUACAGAUAGAUAAAUUUUCGUCAUAUAAAAUAAUUUUAAAAUGCAUUUUCCUGAGGUGUCCUCUUUUUGAGCAUGGGACCUGGAUGGGAGAAGAACAAAAAAAAUUGCGGUUUAGAUUCUAAUUAAGCAGUUAUGACAAAUGUUCAGAAUCAAAUUGAUUAUAUACAGAGGGGCCUUCUUCUGCAAGUUGUCAGGACUCAGGACCAUAUGCAUGCAUAAUCUGGGAGCUGCAGGAGAGGACGGUCUAUAGCAAUGGACCUUUGUGUAGCGUUGUGCAAAUAGCAGGCGUAAGUAACUAAUGUCCACAAGCUACUUGUAGCCUGCAAGGGAGCAAUUAGAACUACCGUGGUAGAAACUGAUAAUUGUCUCAUUAGUCAUUCAGGAACAAAGAGAUUGCAGUUCAUGAAUGUUGUGACCUUUGGCAUUCCAAAAGAAGUUCUUGGCUUCUUGGUUCAACCAAAAAAAAAAAAGAUUAGGA